UACGAAGGGGGCUAGCGUUGCUCGGAAUGACUGGGCGUAAAGGGCGCGUAGGCGGAUGGUACAGUCAGAUGUGAAAUUCCUGGGCUUAACCUGGGGGGCUGCAUUUGAUACGUGUUGUCUAGAGUGAGGAAGAGGGUCGUGGAAAUUCCCAGUGUAGAGGUGAAAAUUCGUAGAUAUUGGGAAGAACACCGGUGGCGAAGGCGGCGAGCUGGUCCAUUACUGACGGCUGA
This 230-nucleotide ribosomal RNA is filed under the name uncultured bacterium. RNAcentral describes it as "partial 16S ribosomal RNA". It matches the Rfam family "Bacterial small subunit ribosomal RNA", at positions 524 to 749 of the family's 1533-position model. The record is from RNAcentral.